UACGUAGGGUGCAAGCGUUGUCCGGAAUUAUUGGGCGUAAAGAGCUCGUAGGCGGUUUGUUACGUCGGCUGUGAAAACCUGGGGCUCAACCCCGGGCCUGCAGCCGAUACGGGCAGACUAGAAUUCGGUAGGGGAGACUGGAAUUUCUGGUGUAGCGGUGAAAUGCGCAGAUAUCAGAAGGAACACCGGUGGCGAAGGCGGGUCUCUGGGCCGAUAUUGACGCUGAGGAGCGAAAGCGUGGGUAGCAAACAGG
RNAcentral lists this ribosomal RNA (253 nucleotides) under uncultured bacterium. RNAcentral describes it as "partial 16S ribosomal RNA". It matches the Rfam family "Bacterial small subunit ribosomal RNA", at positions 524 to 776 of the family's 1533-position model. The record is from RNAcentral.